GUAGGGAAUAUUGGACAAUGGGGGGAACCCUGAUCCAGCCAUGCCGCGUGGAGGAAGACUGCCCUCUGGGUUGUAAACUCCUUUUAUAUGGGAAGAACCGUCCUCAUUAAUGAGUGACCUGACGGUACCAUAGGAAUAAGCACCGGCUAACUCCGUGCCAGCAGCCGCGGUAAUACGGAGGGUGCAAGCGUUAUCCGGAUUCACUGGGUUUAAAGGGUGCGUAGGCGGAUAAAUAAGUCAGUGGUGAAAUCAACGGGCUCAACCUGUUAACUGCCAUUGAUACUGUGUAUCUUGAAUAUGAGAGAGGUAGGCGGAAUGUUGCAUGUAGCGGUGAAAUGCUUAGAUAUGCUACGGAACACCGAUUGCGAAGGCAGCUUACUAUUUCGUAAUUGACGCUGAGGCACGAAAGCGUGGGUAGCGAACAGGAUUAGAAACCCCGGUAGUCC
RNAcentral lists this ribosomal RNA (446 nucleotides) under uncultured bacterium. RNAcentral's name for it is "partial 16S ribosomal RNA". It matches the Rfam family "Bacterial small subunit ribosomal RNA", at positions 354 to 796 of the family's 1533-position model. The record is from RNAcentral.